AGAGAACUAGAAAAGGUAUGGUACUGUAGAUGACAGGAGAACUAGAAAAGUUAUGGUACUGUAGGAUGACAGGAGAACUAGAAAAGGUAUGGUACUGUAGGAUGACAGGAGAACUAGAAAAGGUAUGGUACUGUAGGAUGACACGGAGAACUAGAAAAGUUA
This is a non-coding RNA of Salvelinus sp. IW2-2015, 162 nucleotides long. The record is from RefSeq and is a predicted model, not a curated record. Lineage: Eukaryota; Metazoa; Chordata; Actinopteri; Salmoniformes; Salmonidae.